GACGAACGCUGGCGGCGUGCUUAACACAUGCAAGUCGAACGGAAAGGCCCUGCUUUUGUGGGGUGCUCGAGUGGCGAACGGGUGAGUAACACGUGAGUAACCUGCCCUUGACUUUAGGAUAACUUCAGGAAACUGGGGCUAAUACCGGAUAGGAGCUCCUGCUGCAUGGUGGGGGUUGGAAAGUUUCGGCGGUUGGGGAUGGACUCGCGGCUUAUCAGCUUGUUGGUGGGGUAGUGGCUUACCAAGGCUUUGACGUGUAGCCGGCCUGAGAGGGUGACCGGCCACAUUGGGACUGAGAUACGGCCCAGACUCCUACGGGAGGCAGCAGUGGGGAAUAUUGCACAAUGGGCGGAAGCCUGAUGCAGCAACGCCGCGUGCGGGAUGACGGCCUUCGGGUUGUAAACCGCUUUCGCCUGUGACGAAGCGUGAGUGACGGUAAUGGGUAAAGAAGCACCGGCUAACUACGUG
This 468-nucleotide ribosomal RNA is filed under the name uncultured bacterium. Its description in RNAcentral is "partial 16S ribosomal RNA". It matches the Rfam family "Bacterial small subunit ribosomal RNA", at positions 28 to 507 of the family's 1533-position model. The record is from RNAcentral.